GGCACCUCACCCCGUUCUGGAGCUACGUCCUAUGGACUCCGACAGCCGCAGAUAAGCCCUCGGGGACCGGGGUUGUGAAACGCGAGGUCGUGAAGACGCCAGCCACAUACCGAAGGGUGGGAUGGUGAGAUCAGCCCCGUCCCACCCCAAUUAAAAUCCACCUGACAGAAAAUUAACAACCGGCGUGGUGGCUAACGCCUGUAAUCCCAGCACUUCGGGAGGCCAAGGUGGGUGAAUCACCUGAGGUCGGGAGUUCGAGACCAGCCUGGCCAACAUGGAGAAACCCUGUCUCUACUAAAAACACAAAAAUUAACCAGGCGUGGUGGCGCUUGCCUGUAAUCCCAGCUGCUGGGGAGGCUGAGAGGAAGAGGUUGACUCUAAUGUAUCCCGUCUAGGAUGUGUUUCAUAAAUCUGGCUAGAAGAUUUCUUUUCCAGACAAAGUCUCUCUCUGUUGCCCAGACUAGAGAGCAGUGGUGAGAUUGUGCCUCCCAGAUUCAAGUGAUUCUCCUGCCUCAGCCUCCUGAGUACACCUGGGACUACAGGGCUGCUAUACUGUACAUCUCCAGGAAGAUAAACUGUAUUCCACAGAGCAGGAGGUUAUUUGGAAUCACUGCAUCCUCACCUCUCUCUCAAAGAAAACACAGUCAGCUAUCUCCUAAAGUUGCAUAUCAUCACAGUUCUAAUCCUUCGUUGUAUAUCUUAAGUACAUAGGACACUUUAAGGACAGAAAUGCUUGGGCCUCACCCUAAAAUCAUUGAAUCAGAAAGUACUGAAUUUCCCCACAUGACUGAGGAGUUAGGAAACACUGGAAACAUAGGAUGAGUGUGGGAGAAGUAGUUAGACAAUAAUCUUGAUAAGCAGCUUAACAACAGUGUACCUUGGUUUCAAUACUAAAAAAUUUGAAAUUUAGUUCUACAUAUAGUGGUAACUAUUAAAGAUGUUCACAAUGUAAUGAAAUAAUCAGACUGACAAGAAAGCUUAACUUGGCAUCAGUGUGGCAGAUAGGCAAGAAGAGUAUGAAGCCUGAGUCAGGGGUAGGAGGCUAUUACAAGCUAAGGAAUGGAUGGUAAGGACUUAGACUGGCUGCAGUACAAGCAGGGAGGAAGAAAAUGAGAAAGGACUCAUAAAACAUUGGAUAGGACUUUGAUCAACAAAAUACAUAAGCUGGGUGAAGGCUGAACACCAUAUAACAUUAUUUCCAGGCUAAGCAAUUGAAUGCAGUUUGAUGAUGUCAUUAACCAAAUAGGGAAUAUAGUGGAAGGAUAGAAUGGAGCAAAUGGAGGAAAUCAAUUCUCUUUCUAGCUGUGAUUCAGUUGAAGUUCUUUGUAGGCCCUUUAGAUGGACCUAGAACAAGAAGAACUUGGAAAUUAAGAUUUGGAGUUCAGGAAAGAAGUUGAAGCUAAAAUCUUAGGUUUGGGAGUCAACAGGGUACUUGGUAACACUUGAGGACAUUAGAAUGAGGGAAACUGAACAGGGAAUUGUUCAUGUAGAAUCAAAAGUACCUAGCACAAAAUUAAAGAUAAACCAGACUUUCUUGUUAAAUUUACUUAACCAUACAAUCUUAAUAAAGCUUACACAUAGCACCAUUAAAAAUAAGCAGAAGUUAAUGUGAAGAAUAGUAAUAGAAAAAUUAUCUGCAAACUGUAGGACAACUUUAAAUAUGACUAUUGUAUCUCUGAAAUUAUUUAGAAUCCAUUAGUCUAUUAGUUUGGAAAGACUGUCGUUUCUAGCUUAUAAACAGCACAUUCAUCAAGUUGGCUCCUCAUCUAUAUCAGUACUUCCCUAAAUGAAACAAUCAGAUAUUUGGUGAUUUACUUCCUACAAAGUCAAGUCAAUAUACAUAACUAUUAAGUCAACUCAUAAGAAAUAGAGCCAUGUAUUUAACAAAUGCAACUUCUCAUAUCAAGAGAUUAUCACUUAAAAUGUGUCUAUGUGUUUGUGUACUUGUGUGACAGGCAGUUUUGUAAAACUUCUCAACUUUAAUAAUCAAAAUACUUGAUUGGUCUGGAAUUAUUUUAACAGCAAAAAAGCAAAAAAACAAAACCAAACUUAAAUUCACAGGGCCAUGCUACUUCCAGAGGGUGAAUGCCCUUGUUUGGAGUGAGUCUCUUAAAUCUUCAUUUUUAAGAGGUACCUAGGUAAUUAUGAUGAAACAGGUUCAGGAAACUAUAUUUUGAGAAACAUUACCAUAUAUUAGAUUUACAUUUUAACUAAGACUGUUUUAAAAAUGUUGAGAAAUGUAUAGACUGCAGAAAACUGUUUUAAAUAACAAUAUUAUAUGGUUCAAGUAGAAAAUACAUUUUCUUUAUUCAAAUCAUGUUGAUAUACAUGAAGUUAUACCAAAGCUGCAUUUUAAUCUCAUCACAUUCCACUCCAAAUUCUUUACCAUUUACCAAAAAUAACUUUUAAUAAAGCUUACUAUUUUGUCUAAUAUUAUACAAUCAAUCUAUAAUUUUUUGUGUUUAUCUCAAAAAUUAGAAUAGCUUAUGAGCAUAUUAUAUAAAACUAAUUGGUAUAUUACACACCAAACAUAAGUACAGAUUCUGUACAAUGUAAUUAUGUACAUAUAUAUUACAAGAGACUAAAUGCCUUGUUGAGAGUAAUUUUUUUUUUUUGAGAUGGAGUCUUGCUCUGUCACCCAGGCUGAAGUACAGUGGCUCUGCCUCUGGGUUUAAGUGAUUCUCUUGCCUCCGACUCCCGAGCAGCUGGAAUUAUACACACGCAUCUGCCAUCAUGCCCGGCUAAGUUUUGUAUUUUUGUAGAGAUGGGGUUUCACCAUGUUGACCUGGCAGGUCUUGAACUCCUCCUGUCAGGUGACCUACCUGCCUCAGCCUCCCAUAGUGCUGGGAUUACAGGAGUGUGCCACUACGCCUGGCGAAAAGUAGUAUUUUAAGAAAUCUUUCAUGGAAAAAAGCUCUGCAUUAUAAAAUGUGGUAGCUUGAGUAACAGUUACUUUUCUUUCAUGAAUUUCUUUCAGUGGGCAUUAACUGUCCAUUUAGCUUCAUUAACAGUUUUACCACAAGACCAGCCUACAAAGUAAAAGAUGACAACAAUAAAUAUAAAACAUGUAAAAAUGUUUAAAGGACAUACAUGACACUGGGCAGUUCCCUAUCUAUUUGAAAGGGAACUUAUCAGGAGACAGCUUGUUAAGAAAGAGUAUAGAGGGGAUAUUUACUCAGGCGUUUGAAUGGACUUAAGAAGCGAUCUGCUGGAUACAGCUAGGGGGCACAGGUAAGUCAAGAAGAGGGAAGAACUACCUAAUACUUUGAUAGAAGAAAUAGGUAAUAGUGACCAGAAUUAAAAGAUAUGGCACAAGAAACAAUUUGUUAUAAAGUAAAAUAAACUAUUCAGAUAAGUUUCUGACUUUCCUUGCUUAGAAGGCCUGCCUUUUUUCCUUGGCCUUAAAUAUUUUCAUUUCAUGGAAUAUUACAGAUUUUCCUUGAAGUUAAAUGGAUGUCUCUUUUUAAAAAAAGAAGUAACUUUCCUAACUCAGUAGUUCAUUGUUAGAAGUCCAAAAUAAAUAAUACUUACCUGUUUUGUAUGUACUAUAAAGCUCAUUUUAUUUUCCAUGCUAUGGAUCUGAAAACAAGUAUCAGCAUCUCCCAAUUGCCACAUAAAACAACCAUACUUAAGACUGAUAAGUAAAGCCUGCAACAAAAUUGGAAAUCAUUAUAUUGAAAUAUAUAUUAAAAACAUCACCUAUUUUCUCUUAUUAUUUACAUUUACGUAGUCUGGUCUAAAUAUUAUUGUUCAGAAUGUUUUAAUAAAGCCUUUUCAAAGCACCCACACUACCUCCAUACAGCCUGCAGCACAGAAUCACAUAGACCAGUAGACUCUCAGGAGAGUGCCGUGAGCAAUAUUUGUUGUAUAAGAUUGACAAAAGUUCUUUAUAAUGUCAAUUCUAUCCAUGGUUUUCAGGAUAAUGAAAGAUACUACCUUUAUUUUCUUCUUGCAGGUUAAAAACUAUCUCUUUAUUCAGCAUCUUUCUUUUGAAUAUUUACAUAGUACUUUCAGAUCUACAGUUUAUGCAACUGGGGUAACAUGUUUAUUUAGGCAAUCUCUUCCCACUAAAAAUAAGUACUCUGACAUAUUUAUUGUAAAAGUAAGCAUAAUUUUAAAAAUUAUUAAUAAUUGGGCCAGGCACACUGGCUCACGCCUUUAAUCCCAGCACUUUGGGAGGCCAAGGCGGGUGGAUCACGAGGUCAAGAGAUCGAGACCAUCCUGGUCAACAUAGUGAAACCCUGUCUCUACUAAAAAUACAAAAAAUUAGCUGGGCAUGGUGGUGCAGGCCUGUAAUCCCAGCUACUUAGGAGGCUGAGGCAGGAGAAUUGCCUGAACCCAGGAAGUGGAGGUUGUGGUGAGCCAAGAUCACGCCAUUGCACUCCAGCCUGGGUAACAAGAGCAAAACUCCAUCUCAAAAAAAAAAAAAAAAUUAAUAAUUUAAAAACAUAAUAUAUUUUUACAAUAAAUAUAUCAGAGUAUGUAAUUUAAAUUAAUAGUUAAAAAUCAAAUUCUUGUGUUAAAGGACAAUGUACAGUAAGGAAGGAAUUAUUGAGAAACCUAAAAUAAUGAAAACAGCUCAAUGGAGCUAAAGAGCCAAAGGAUCAUCCACAUGAUGGUUGUAGGUGAUCACUGCACAAAAAGGAAAAAGCAGCUCUCAUUAGAAGGUAAAAUCUAUAAUUGCAAAGGUUUCAUUAAGGAAAGUCAAACAUCACAAGAGAAAGAGUUGAGAAGAGUAGCUGAGAGCAGAAAAGGAAAACCCACAGAAGUCAGAAGUAGCACAUGGGUGACCAGCAGACAGAAGAAAUAGUGAUGUUGACAACUGGUCAUGUAGAGUGUUAUUAUGUGGGUAUUUAAACAACCAGUCUUAUAUCAGAAGGGCUUUAUGGUAAACAUAAAUUGACAUCAGCAGAAGAUUGUCUAUUGCCUGGGUGUGACAGUGGUACUAUUAAAUUUAAAGACAUAUCAACCGGUACAGUUCAGUUGGGAAGACUGUAACAUAUUCACUAUAACAAAACAUAACGCCACAACACAGGACACUUAACAGCUCAAUAGUGUUUACAUUUUAUGUUAGCAGAACAGACAAGUCUCUCAUGAGCAUAUGUAACUGGCUGAGCUAUGUUUUCUGCUGGGCAACUUUCAUUAUUUCAAAGAGAAACUACCUAUAGAAGGUAGAAGUAAUUGAUAAAAAAAACACAACUGUGCCCCAUGGCUUUUCCUGAGAAUCUCUGACACUAAUAUAUCCUAUGUAGUGUUUUAAAUACAAUUGAAGGUAUUUUUGCCGAUGAAGGUGUUUGCUCUAGUUUUGCAAAGCUUGUUGAAUUCAAUCCUAGCAGAUCUUGACAACUAAGAUUGUCCUAAACAACUAAGGACAAGCUGGUUGUUCCCACAUUUGACAGCUGAAAUAUGUAAUUAUCUUAGAGCUUUAUCAGUGGUUUACAGAGAACAAGGUAAUACCUAGAUAGAUAGAAAAUAUCUUUACUCUUUGGUCCAAUCACCUUUUUAGAUACGUAAGGACAGCAUUUCUAUUUGUAGUUAAGGAAACUGAAUCUCUUAUCUAAGAAAAAGCAGACUUUUCAUUAAGAAUAUUAUUGUCAUCCUCUGUCUGUUACUGCUACCUCUCCUGGAUCAGAAUAUUAUACAUAAUAUGAAAUGUUAUAUUUUAAUGUUAAAUAAUGUUGCUAAACCAUCAUUUGAAUACUAUAUAAAACUGUUUUAUUGCUGAAAAUUGGAAUGCUAACAAAAGUGAAACAUAAAAUACAGUUUAGAGAAAUGGCACAGCAUCACCAUUCAGUUCUAUGAAAAGUGAUUUGUAGAUGUUGGUAUAAAAUGCUCUGAAACAGCAGAGGAAAAGUUUCUUGAAAUGCUGGGGAGCAUUUCUACCUCAUUUCCUUUAAUGAACUUAGUCCAAGAGAAAUAGAAAAGUGGUUACAAGCUAAUAAACAGCAGCCUAUUUUGUGUGAGCAAAAUAGUAUUAACAGAAAAUGAGGAUGGGUGUAGUGGCUCACACCUGAAAUCCCAGGACUUUGGGAGGCCAAGGUAAGAGAAUCACCUUGUAGAGAUAGGGUCUCACUUUGGUGCCCACACCAGGAGUUUGAGACCAGCCUGGGAAACAAACUGAGACCCUAUCUCUACAAAUAAUUAAAAAAUUAGCUGGGUGUGGUGGCAUAUGCCUGUAGUCCCAACUACUUGGGGAGCAGAGGCAGGAGGAUCACCUGAGCCCAGGAGUUUGCAGCUGCAGUGAGCUAUGAUGCUGUCACUGCCCUCCAGCCUGGGCAACAGAGUGAGACUGUCCUAAGGGGAGAAAAAAAAGAAAGAAAGAAAGAAAAAGAAAAUGAUAAGCAAAUGACCCAAAAGCAGGGUGACUGUAAGAGGGCAAUCCCAACCUUUUUGGUACCAGGGACUGGUUUCAUGGAAGACAAUUUUUCCACAGACGGGGUGUGGGGAAUGGUUUUGGGAUCAAGCGCAUUUCAUUUAUUGUGUACUUUAUUUCUAUUACUAUUACAUUAUAAUAUGUAAUAAAAUAAUUACACAACUCA
Molecule: long non-coding RNA, 6539 nt
Organism: Callithrix jacchus (white-tufted-ear marmoset)
Lineage: Eukaryota; Metazoa; Chordata; Mammalia; Primates; Cebidae
Source: RefSeq, a predicted model, not a curated record